AGUGAACGCUGGCGGUAGGCCUAACACAUGCCAGUCGAACGGCAGCACAGUAAGAGCUUGCUCUUACGGGUGGCGAGUGGCGGACGGGUGAGGAAUACAUCGGAAUCUACUUUUUCGUGGGGGAUAACGUAGGGAAACUUACGCUAAUACCGCAUACGACCUACGGGUGAAAGCAGGGGAUCUUCGGACCUUGCGCGAUUGAAUGAGCCGAUGUCGGAUUAGCUAGUUGGCGGCGUAAAGGCCCACCAAGGCGACGAUCCGUAGCUGGUCUGAGAGGAUGAUCAGCCACACUGGAACUGAGACACGGUCCAGACUCCUACGGGAGGCAGCAGUGGGGAAUAUUGGACAAUGGGCGCAAGCCUGAUCCAGCCAUACCGCGUGGGUGAAGAAGGCCUUCGGGUUGUAAAGCCCUUUUGUUGGGAAAGAAAAGCAGCAGGUUAAUACCCCGCUGUUCUGACGGUACCCAAAGAAUAAGCACCGGCUAACUUCGUG
This 492-nucleotide ribosomal RNA is filed under the name uncultured bacterium. RNAcentral's name for it is "partial 16S ribosomal RNA". It matches the Rfam family "Bacterial small subunit ribosomal RNA", at positions 29 to 507 of the family's 1533-position model. The record is from RNAcentral.